GCCGCCGCAGCAGCUCCGCGGCGCCCGGUGCCGUCCCCUCGCCGCGCAGCCCGGGCACGGCUCCGCCACAGCCAGCACAGCCCGGCUGCUUUUAGGAGCAGCGCUGCUGAGGCCCAGGGGGGGGGAAAUGAAAGGAAAAGGAGGUUGCAGCAGCGGGAGCCGCCGCACCCCGGCGGGAGGAGCGGGAUCGGGGGAGCUUGGCAGGCGGGAGGGCGGCCUCUGCCACGGCGCUGCCCGGAGCUUCUCCCCGGCGGUCUCCACCUGCCCGCGGGGGGAGCGGAGCCGGCUCCGGUCCCGGUCCCGGUCCCGGCCCCUUUAGCCCUCGCUCGGCACCCCGCGGGCAGCGGCUCCGCGCUCGGGGCCGCGCCGGCAGCGGCGCGGGCUCGUCUCUCAUCCUGAGGACAAGGUCAAGGAUGAAGGGUCAAUGUCAAGUUGUCUUAACGGUGGAAGGCGACCCUCCACGGCAACACUCCUUGCUUCCCGCGUUUCUGGUGUCCUCGAUUGAUUCGAAAGUGCCAUUUUGAAGGGGAACCGCGCCCGGGCACCAAGAAGACGCGAGGACUUCGCUUUUCCUUCCCCGGGCGAAGGAGUGAGGACGGUACAGGACGGGGAUGUCACCGCCACUCUGCCUAACAGUAUUUAGUGUCUUAAAGUGCUUUAAUGGCUGGAUUGCUUUAGGUUUCAGGGACCCUCGGAGGACUGCAUUCUGCCAAGCGAACCCUCCGAGAGCCCGCCCGGAGCGCCGCCGCCGCCAGACACCCAGCCCAGGCGCCCGCGCUCGCCAGCAGCGUCCGCAACAGGCUCUAAACCAUUGCCAGGGUUUCUCUUGGGAUCACGGACUCUCCUGAAGGAACAGCUGAGCUUUCCCUGCGCCCCUCUCCGCACGCAGCGUUCGUCCGCGGCGGCGCCGGGCUCCCCCCGCAGCUCGCCCCGGGGCCGGCGGCGGCACGGAGCUCGCAGUCCGCGAUACCCCCCUGUAACCCUCGCGGAUGGACGAGAGAAACAAUAAAGAACGCUGCUUCCUAAA
This is a long non-coding RNA of Vidua macroura (Pin-tailed whydah), 1027 nucleotides long. RefSeq lists it as uncharacterized. The transcript is spliced from 2 exons. NCBI's taxonomy places the organism in Eukaryota, Metazoa, Chordata, Aves, Passeriformes, Viduidae. The record is from RefSeq and is a predicted model, not a curated record.